CAGCCUGUCUUUUUGUCUUGAGAAUAUGUCUGCAUUCCUAUUUCUUGGUGCAUCCUGCACUGUCACCAUAGGCCCCGGUGCGUUCUGCCCUGCACAUGCACCAUGUGUAGUGUAAUAGCGAGGCAGCAAGGCACAGAAGGAGGGUGUGUGUUAUUACAUAACAUCAUGUAAGCCCAAACCCUGCCACCCAACCCAGAUGGGAGUUAUUAUACAGUGACAUUUCCCUGCAGUGUCUUGUAACAUUAGACUUCCCUUUUCUUUCCUAGAAUUCUUUAAAACACCCUUCCCUUGUAUAUAAAUAACUUCUAAAAAUAUUGGAAAGUAGCUGUCCUGCCAGGUUAUAGCAGGAGGUUAGCAUUAGAAGAAAGCUUCAAUUCCCCCCCCCCCAUUAUUUUGUUCUUCAUUUAUUUAAUAGCAGCCUAGACUUUAAUCUGAGUAUAGUACAAGGUUUGGGGAACACUGCAGGAGUCUGAAAUCAAUAGUGAUGUCAUUAAAUUGCCACUUUAAAUUGGCUUAUCCUGGCUGCUGACACCCCUUCCGCUCCCUGGGCAAACUACAACUUUUUAACAGCCAACACUUAGUGUGCUCUCUCUCUCUCUCCAUAAACUAACCUAAACUAUAAGAGAAAACUCUUGUCUUGCAUUAUUCUGACUCUAGUCCAGUGCUUUCCAAAGUAUCUGUGGUAAAGGACUGGUUUUCUUUUCUUUCUUUAUUUCUUUCGAGACAGAGUCUUGUUCUGUCACCCAGGCUGGAGUGCAGUGGCGUGAUCUCGGCUCACUACAAACACUGCCUCCUAGGUUCAAGCGAUUCUCCUGCCUCAGCCUCCCGAGUAGCUGGGAUUACAGGCAUGCACCACAACGUCUGGCUAAUUUUUGUGUUUUUAUGUUUUUAGUAGAGUCGGGGUUUCUCCAUGUUGUCCAGGCUGGUCUCAAACUCUUGUCCUCAGUGAUCCACCCGAUUCGGCCUUCCAAAGUGCUGGGAUUACAGGCGUGAGCCACCGCA
RNAcentral lists this long non-coding RNA (1002 nucleotides) under Homo sapiens (human). RNAcentral describes it as "HSALNT0201073". The record is from RNAcentral. Lineage: Eukaryota; Metazoa; Chordata; Mammalia; Primates; Hominidae.